Molecule: ribosomal RNA, 249 nt
Filed under: uncultured bacterium
Lineage: Bacteria
Description: partial 16S ribosomal RNA
Rfam family: Bacterial small subunit ribosomal RNA
Source: RNAcentral
CGUAAGGUCCGAGCGUUGUCCGGAAUCAUUGGGCGUAAAGGGUACGUAGGCGGAUAAGCAAGUUAGAAGUGAAAUCCUAUAGCUCAACUAUAGUAAGCUUUAAACUGCUCAUCUUGAGGUAUGGAAGGGAAGUGGAAUUCCUAGUGUAGCGGUGAAAUGCGCAGAUAUUAGGAGGAAUACCGGUGGCGAAGGCGACUUUCUGGCCAUAAACUGACGCUGAGGUACGAAGCGUGGGUAGCAAACAGGAUU